GAAGAGAAAUUGUGCCAAAGAGCUAUCCUAUUUAAAGAGAAUAACUGGAGAGAGUCGUUCCAGCAGCCUUUCUGAUGACAGAAAAGGGUGUGAGCGUCCUUAGAAGAUAAAAGCAUGUUCUCAGAACUGAGAACCGGGGCCAGGCCAGCCAUUUGGCAUCCAGUACCUAACUGAUCCCUCCUAGCAGCUCUGUGAAUCUGAUUUUUGGUAUUAUCUUCAAUUCACUGGACAGGUCCAGGUCAUCAGCUGCGAUCUCUAAGCCUGCCCUUUACAGCAUAUACAACUCUGCUGUGGGAUGGUCUGUAUGUCCAGUGUGUUGCUGAUUGGUCAAUAAAUAAAUCACUGAUUGGCCAGUGGCCAGGCAGGAAGUAUAAGUGGGACAAGGAGGAGAAUAAAGCUGGGAAGUGGAAGGCUGAGUCAGAGACACUGCCAGCCGCCACGAUGAGAAACACCAUGUGAAGAUGCCGGACACAGACUCUAAAGAUCCUCAACAGUGUAAUUCUACUUGAAGAUCUUGGCUUCUGAAGAUCACUGCCCUUAAACAUCAGACCCUGCCUCCAGAUGCCUCUUUGCUCACAGAGGCAGUGUAUCUGAACUGCUUCCUGGUGCUUUUUGCAAGCUCAGUUGAAAUUAUAAAGGAGAGGAUGCUGCUACUGGGAAGAAAGAUGGAUCUGCGGGAAAAGACAGUGAGACAGUCCCAGGAACACAGAGAUUUGUAACUGACGGAGGAUGGAAGAAAAGCAAAUGAAGAAUGGCAUCCAAAGUUUGUUUCAGCAACAUGGUUGGACCAAGCACUCCAUAGUUCAUUCAAGUCAGUAAGAAAUAAAGUUAUUUAUUGCUAUCUUGAUGAAUGGUUCAUUUCAAGAAAACCUUACAUACUUAUACUUCAAGAAAAAUGACUGAAUGCAGCCUUCAUCUUUGCUUCUUGGAAUGAACUGUCUGGGCUUGUCCCUCUUCUAUUCAGUUAGCUCAGUUUUCCGAUAGAUAGAUGAAGUGGUAUAGGUAACAAUGGCUUCAGAAGGAUAUAGUCAUAGGUAUUUUUCAACUCAAGUUGAACAUAUUCAUCUCUCAGUAAUGCCUGUAUCCUAAUCAGAAUUUAAGGGGUACACCAUACUUAGACAGAGAAUUACCAUAAUUCAGAUCCAAGAAGACACUGAUUAAAGAAGAAAAUCUGGCUGCUUAUCUUUGGAGAAAGAUCUGAGUUUGAACUUAGUUUAUGAUAUCUUUGGUUUAUGUAGACUUUGUUGAGUUGCUUAAUUAACUCUCUGUAAAAUGGACCUAGUUAUAUCAACCUCAUAGGA
This is a long non-coding RNA of Peromyscus californicus insignis, 1301 nucleotides long. RefSeq lists it as uncharacterized. The record is from RefSeq and is a predicted model, not a curated record. NCBI's taxonomy places the organism in Eukaryota, Metazoa, Chordata, Mammalia, Rodentia, Cricetidae. The transcript is spliced from 4 exons.